Molecule: ribosomal RNA, 497 nt
Filed under: uncultured bacterium
Lineage: Bacteria
Description: partial 16S ribosomal RNA
Rfam family: Bacterial small subunit ribosomal RNA
Source: RNAcentral
GAUGAACGCUGGCGGCGUGCCUAAUACAUGCAAGUCGAGCGAACAGAUAAGGAGCUUGCUCCUUUGACGUUAGCGGCGGACGGGUGAGUAACACGUGGAUAACCUACCUAUAAGACUGGGAUAACUUCGGGAAACCGGAGCUAAUACCGGAUAACAUAUUGAACCGCAUGGUUCAAUAGUGAAAGGCGGCUUUGCUGUCACUUAUAGAUGGAUCCGCGCCGUAUUAGCUAGUUGGUAAGGUAACGGCUUACCAAGGCAACGAUACGUAGCCGACCUGAGAGGGUGAUCGGCCACACUGGAACUGAGACACGGUCCAGACUCUUACGGGAGGCAGCAGUAGGGAAUCUUCCGCAAUGGGCGAAAGCCUGACGGAGCAACGCCGCGUGAUUGAUGAAGGUCUUCGGAUCGUAAAACUCUGUUAUCAGGGAAGAACAAAUGUGUAAGUAACUGUGCACAUCUUGACGGUACCUGAUCAGAAAGCCACGGCUAACUACGUG